UAAAAAACGUAGAAAAUUAAGAAAUGUAGAUAGUUGACAUAAUUGUUAUAAAUUACUACAAAACGAUUAAUAAAGAAAUAAUAGUAGCGUCAAUGAUCACUUCUUGUAUUUAAAAAUAGUAUCAAAAUUAAUAUCAAAACCCAAAUAAAAAGCAGUCUUGUCCUCGCAUACUCACUCAGCUGUUCACAGUUCACACUUAGUAUUGAAAUCAUCUCUCAAGUGUCAAUAGUGAAAACUAACCGCAAGAAGUGAUCGGCCGCGUCUAUAUUGUGAAUUUCAUAUCAGAAUAUUCACUGGAAACAUCAAGGAGCCAAGCCAAUCAUUCAGAUAAUUCAAUCUAAUUAUAACAUUAAACUGGAGAUCGAUUAUUGUUUGUGAACAUUUGGACAAUAUUACUACUAAUCAUAGACAAAAUAUCUGUGGUUAUUGGAGUUGCCAUAAUACUAUAAUAAAAACUAUUCAGUUGAAUUGGUUGAAGAAUAAUCGUUAUCGCCAGAAUUUCUAGGCAUGGCAGUUUAAUUUUGUGUCGCUGUGUUUCAUAUUCGUUCAAAAAGUUUAUAGCCGUUAGAACAUGAAUGGAGAUUACAAGUGUGUAUGUAUAUCUACCUUAGGAUCUUGAUAAAAUAGAACAAUAUAUCAAAAAAUUCAAACACUCAAAUGUGCGCAAGCAAAGGGUUAUUAAGAUGUAUAAUAGAAUCAUACAAAAGUCAAUAUCAAAAAUGGAAUAAAAAACAAACAAGUCGACAAUUUUAUAAACAUAGAAAUCAAGAUUUAUAGUUUGUUAUUGGAUCAAAAGAAAGAAAUACAGCUGAAUGAGAGCAAUAUUAAAACAAAAUAGACAAGAGAAAAUUUUUAAGGAAAAUUUCGAACGUUAAAAUGUAAUCUGUCUGUACUCAAAAGUUUAAUAAAAAUAAAAAAUA
Long non-coding RNA from Daktulosphaira vitifoliae (grape phylloxera), 920 nucleotides. RefSeq lists it as uncharacterized. Lineage: Eukaryota; Metazoa; Arthropoda; Insecta; Hemiptera; Phylloxeridae. The transcript is spliced from 4 exons. The record is from RefSeq and is a predicted model, not a curated record.